GGGUUGUGAGGUUAAGCGACUAAGCGUACACGGUGGAUGCCCUGGCAGUCAGAGGCGAUGAAGGGCGUGCUAAUCUGCGAUAAGCGCCGGUAAGGUGAUAUGAACCGUUAUAACCGGCGAUACCCGAAUGGGGAAACCCAGUGUGAUUCGUCACACUAUCAUUAACUGAAUCCAUAGGUUAAUGAGGCGAACCGGGGGAACUGAAACAUCUAAGUACCCCGAGGAAAAGAAAUCAACCGAGAUUCCCCCAGUAGCGGCGAGCGAACGGGGAGGAGCCCAGAGCCUGAAUCAGCAUGUGUGUUAGUGGAAGCGUCUGGAAAGGCGCGCGAUACAGGGUGACAGCCCCGUACACAAAAGCGCAUGUGCUGUGAGCUCGAUGAGUAGGGCGGGACACGUGGUAUCCUGUCUGAAUAUGGGGGGACCAUCCUCCAAGGCUAAAUACUCCUGACUGACCGAUAGUGAACCAGUACCGUGAGGGAAAGGCGAAAAGAACCCCGGCGAGGGGAGUGAAAAAGAACCUGAAACCGUGUACGUACAAGCAGUGGGAGCACCCUUCGGGGUGUGACUGCGUACCUUUUGUAUAAUGGGUCAG
RNAcentral lists this ribosomal RNA (592 nucleotides) under Salmonella enterica subsp. enterica serovar Typhimurium. RNAcentral describes it as "partial 23S ribosomal RNA". It matches the Rfam family "Bacterial large subunit ribosomal RNA", at positions 1 to 623 of the family's 2925-position model. The record is from RNAcentral. Lineage: Bacteria; Pseudomonadati; Pseudomonadota; Gammaproteobacteria; Enterobacterales; Enterobacteriaceae.